CCUACGGGAGGCUGCAGUGAGGAAUAUUGGUCAAUGGACGGAAGUCUGAACCAGCCAUGCCGCGUGCAGGAAGACGGCUCUAUGAGUUGUAAACUGCUUUUGUACAAGGGUAAACCUGAAUACGUGUAUUCAGCUGAAAGUACUGUACGAAUAAGGAUCGGCUAACGCCGUGCCAGCAGCCGCGGUAAUACGGAGGAUCCAAGCGUUAUCCGGAUUGAUUGGGUUUAAAGGGUGCGUAGGCGGAUUGAUAAGUUAGAGGUGAAAUGUCCGAGCUUAACUCGGGAACUGCCUCUAAUACUGUUGAUCUAGAGAGUAGAUGCGGUAGGCGGAAUGUAUGGUGUAGCGGGGAAAUGCUUAGAGAUCAUACAGAACACCGAUUGCGAAGGCAGCUUACCAAUCUAUAUCUGACGUUGAGGCACGAAAGCGUGGGGAGCAAACAGGAUUAGAUACCCGGGUAGUC
RNAcentral lists this ribosomal RNA (460 nucleotides) under uncultured bacterium. Its description in RNAcentral is "partial 16S ribosomal RNA". It matches the Rfam family "Bacterial small subunit ribosomal RNA", at positions 338 to 795 of the family's 1533-position model. The record is from RNAcentral.